This 233-nucleotide ribosomal RNA is filed under the name uncultured bacterium. RNAcentral's name for it is "partial 16S ribosomal RNA". It matches the Rfam family "Bacterial small subunit ribosomal RNA", at positions 103 to 334 of the family's 1533-position model. The record is from RNAcentral.
CGGGUGAGUAACGCGUGAGGAACCUGCCUCAAAGAGGGGGACAACAGUUGGAAACGACUGCUAAUACCGCAUAAGCCCACGGCUCGGCAUCGAGCAGAGGGAAAAGGAGCAAUCCGCUUUGAGAUGGCCUCGCGUCCGAUUAGCUAGUUGGUGAGGUAAUGGCCCACCAAGGCGACGAUCGGUAGCCGGACUGAGAGGUUGAACGGCCACAUUGGGACUGAGACACGGUCCAA